UAAGGAAUAUUGGACAAUGCCCGCAAGGGUGAUCCAGCCAUGCCGCGUGCAGGAAGAAGGCCCUAUGGGUCGUAAACUGCUUUUACACCGGAGAAAACCCCCCUUCGUGAAGGGGGCUGAUAGUAUGGUGAGAAUAAGCAUCGGCUAACUUCGUGCCAGCAGCCGCGGUAAGACGAAGGAUGCAAGCGUUAUCCGGAUUCAUUGGGUUUAAAGGGAGCGUAGGUGGACUGAUAAGUCAGUGGUGAAAUCUUCGGGCUUAACCCGAAAAUUGCCAUUGAUACUGUUGGUCUUGAGUACAGUUGCUGUGGGCGGAAUAUGACAUGUAGUGGUGAAAUACAUAGAGAUGUCAUAGAACACCGAUUGCGAAGGCAGCUCACAAAGCUGUAACUGACACUGAGGCUCGAAAGUGCGGGGAUCAAACAGGAUUAGAUACCCCCGUAGUCC
Molecule: ribosomal RNA, 444 nt
Filed under: uncultured bacterium
Lineage: Bacteria
Description: bacterial SSU rRNA
Rfam family: Bacterial small subunit ribosomal RNA
Source: RNAcentral